Triticum aestivum (bread wheat) is the source of this 135-nucleotide non-coding RNA. The record is from Rfam. Lineage: Eukaryota; Viridiplantae; Streptophyta; Magnoliopsida; Poales; Poaceae.
UAUAUACUACCUCCGUACGGAAAUACUUGUCAUUGAAACGAAUAAAAGAGGAUGUAUCUAGAUAUAUAUUAGUCCUAGAUACAUCCCUUUUUAUCCAUUUUGAUGACAAGUUUUUUCGGACGAAGGGAGUAUGUG